GGAGUGAGGAGUGAGGAGUGAGCAGGUGAGGAGUGAGGAGUGAGGAUUGAGGAGUGAGGAGGUGAGGAGUGAGGAGUGAGGAGGUGAGGAGUGAGGAGGUGAGGAGUGAGGAGAUGAGGAGUGAGGAGGUGAGGAGUGAGGAGUGA
Molecule: long non-coding RNA, 146 nt
Filed under: Aotus nancymaae (Ma's night monkey)
Lineage: Eukaryota; Metazoa; Chordata; Mammalia; Primates; Aotidae
Description: lncRNA (ENSANAG00000038964.1)
Source: RNAcentral